GAGUAGAGUAGAGUAGAGUAGAGUAGAGUAGAGUAGAGUAGAGUAGAGUAGAGCCGAGUAGAGCCGAGUAGAGUAGAGUAGAGUAGAGCCGAGUAGAGUAGAGUAGAGUAGAGUAGAGUAGAGUAGAGUAGAGUAGAGUAGAGUAGAGUAGAGCCGAGUAGAGCCGAGUAGAGCCGAGUAGAGUAGAGUAGAGUAGAGUAGAGUAGAGUAGAGUAGAGUAGAGUAGAGUAGAGUAGAGCCGAGUAGAGUAGAGUAGAGUAGAGUAGAGUUGAGUAGACUAGAGUAGAGUAGAGUAGAGUAGAGUACAUACGUAAAAACGCGCAAGUUGUAACAAACGUGCAGCAGACUUGUAACAAUGCUGUUCCAACAACUUGUCAACAGGAUGUGUUCGCACUGCUUAUUCCCAGCUUGUUGACAAGUUGUCAACGACUUGUUGACAACUUGCUGCAAGGUUGUUG
Paramuricea clavata is the source of this 458-nucleotide non-coding RNA. NCBI's taxonomy places the organism in Eukaryota, Metazoa, Cnidaria, Anthozoa, Malacalcyonacea, Plexauridae. The record is from the annotation of a GenBank genome assembly.